RNAcentral lists this transfer RNA (94 nucleotides) under Burkholderia cepacia. RNAcentral describes it as "tRNA-Ile(gat)". The record is from RNAcentral. Lineage: Bacteria; Pseudomonadati; Pseudomonadota; Betaproteobacteria; Burkholderiales; Burkholderiaceae.
GAUGGCGUUGCGCGACGCGGCGCACGCGGCCGGCCGCUGAUACCGGCAGCCGAUGUGGAUGGAGCGGCGGCGCGUGUCCCACGCGCCGUUUUUU